CAGCCUACGGGACGCAGCAGUGAGGAAUAUUGGUCAAUGGACGAGAGUCUGAACCAGCCAAGUAGCGUGAAGGAUGAAUGCCCUAUGGGUUGUAAACUUCUUUUAUAUGGGAAUAAAGUUUUCCACGUGUGGAAUUUUGUAUGUACCAUAUGAAUAAGGAUCGGCUAACUCCGUGCCAGCAGCCGCGGUAAUACGGAGGAUCCGAGCGUUAUCCGGAUUUAUUGGGUUUAAAGGGAGCGGAGAUGGGUUGUUAAGUCAGUUGUGAAAGUUUGCGGGUCAACCGUAGAAUUGCAAUUGAUACUGGG
RNAcentral lists this ribosomal RNA (305 nucleotides) under uncultured bacterium. RNAcentral describes it as "bacterial SSU rRNA". It matches the Rfam family "Bacterial small subunit ribosomal RNA", at positions 334 to 637 of the family's 1533-position model. The record is from RNAcentral.